CAGAAACUUAAAUGGAAUUGACGGGGCCCGCACAAGCGGAGGAACAUGUGGUUUAAUUCGAUGAUACGCGAGGAACCUUACCUGGGCUAGAACGCAUUCGGAAUCAGGCCGAAAGGCCUGCGCCAGCGAUGGCCGCUUGCGAGGUGCUGCAUGGUUGUCGUCAGCUCGUGCCGUGAGGUGUCGGGUUAAGUCCCAUAACGAGCGCAACCCCUACUGCUAGUUGCCAGCGGGUCAUGCCGGGGACUCUAGCGGAACUGCCAGCGUAAGCUGCGAGGAAGGUGGGGAUGACGUCAAAUCAGCACGGCCCUUACGUCCAGGGCUACACACGUGUUACAAUGGCCGGUACAGAGGGCAGCCACCCCGCGAGGGGGCGCGAAUCCCGAAAGCCGGUCCCAGUUCGGAUCGGAGUCUGCAACCCGACUCCGUGAAGCUGGAUUCGCUAGUAAUCGCGCAUCAGCCACGGCGCGGUGAAUACGUUCCCGGGCCUU
Molecule: ribosomal RNA, 488 nt
Filed under: uncultured Rikenellaceae bacterium
Lineage: Bacteria; Pseudomonadati; Bacteroidota; Bacteroidia; Bacteroidales; Rikenellaceae
Description: bacterial SSU rRNA
Rfam family: Bacterial small subunit ribosomal RNA
Source: RNAcentral